This 492-nucleotide ribosomal RNA is filed under the name uncultured bacterium. RNAcentral describes it as "partial 16S ribosomal RNA". It matches the Rfam family "Bacterial small subunit ribosomal RNA", at positions 29 to 507 of the family's 1533-position model. The record is from RNAcentral.
AGUGAACGCUGGCGGUAGGCCUAACACAUGCAAGUCGAACGGCAGCACAGUAAGAGCUUGCUCUUACGGGUGGCGAGUGGCGGACGGGUGAGGAAUACAUCGGAUUCUACUUUUUCGUGGGGGAUAACGUAGGGAAACUUACGCUAAUAUCGCAUACGACCUACGUGUGAAAGCAGGGGAUCUUCGGACCUUGCGCGAUUGAAUGAGCCGAUGUCGGAUUAGCUAGUUGGCGGGGUAAAGGCCCACCAAGGCGACGAUCCGUAGCUGGUCUGAGAGGAUGAUCAGCCACACUGGAACUGAGACACGGUCCAGACUCCUACGGGAGGCAGCAGUGGGGAAUAUUGGACAAUGGGCGCAAGCCUGAUCCAGCCAUACCGCGUGGGUGAAGAAGGCCUUCGGGUUGUAAAGCCCUUUUGUUGGGAAAGAAAAGCAGCAGGUUAAUACCCCGCUGUUCUGACGGUACCCAAAGAAUAAGCACCGGCUAACUUCGUG